Molecule: ribosomal RNA, 492 nt
Filed under: uncultured bacterium
Lineage: Bacteria
Description: partial 16S ribosomal RNA
Rfam family: Bacterial small subunit ribosomal RNA
Source: RNAcentral
AGUGAACGCUGGCGGUAGGCCUAACACAUGCAAGUCGAACGGCAGCACAGUAAGAGCUUGCUCUUACGGGUGGUGAGUGGCGGACGGGUGAGGAAUACAUCGGAAUCUACUUUUUCGUGGGGGAUAACGUAGGGAAACUUACGCUAAUACCGCAUACGACCUACGGGUGAAAGCAGGGGAUCUUCGGACCUUGCGCGAUUGAAUGAGCCGAUGUCGGAUUAGCUAGUUGGCGGGGUAAAGGCCCACCAAGGCGACGAUCCGUAGCUGGUCUGAGGGGAUGAUCAGCCACACUGGAACUGAGACACGGUCCAGACUCCUACGGGAGGCAGCAGUGGGGAAUAUUGGACAAUGGGCGCAAGCCUGAUCCAGCCAUACCGCGUGGGUGAAGAAGGCCUUCGGGUUGUAAAGCCCUUUUGUUGGGAAAGAAAAGCAGCAGGUUAAUACCCCGCUGUUCUGACGGUACCCAAAGAAUAAGCACCGGCUAACUUCGUG